RNAcentral lists this ribosomal RNA (562 nucleotides) under Penicillium chrysogenum. RNAcentral describes it as "eukaryotic LSU rRNA". The stretch from base 209 to 361 matches the Rfam family "5.8S ribosomal RNA". Lineage: Eukaryota; Fungi; Ascomycota; Eurotiomycetes; Eurotiales; Aspergillaceae. The record is from RNAcentral.
CUACCGUAGGUGAACCUGCGGAAGGAUCAUUACCGAGUGAGGGCCCUCUGGGUCCAACCUCCCACCCGUGUUUAUUUUACCUUGUUGCUUCGGCGGGCCCGCCUUAACUGGCCGCCGGGGGGCUUACGCCCCCGGGCCCGCGCCCGCCGAAGACACCCUCGAACUCUGUCUGAAGAUUGUAGUCUGAGUGAAAAUAUAAAUUAUUUAAAACUUUCAACAACGGAUCUCUUGGUUCCGGCAUCGAUGAAGAACGCAGCGAAAUGCGAUACGUAAUGUGAAUUGCAAAUUCAGUGAAUCAUCGAGUCUUUGAACGCACAUUGCGCCCCCUGGUAUUCCGGGGGGCAUGCCUGUCCGAGCGUCAUUUCUGCCCUCAAGCACGGCUUGUGUGUUGGGCCCCGUCCUCCGAUCCCGGGGGACGGGCCCGAAAGGCAGCGGCGGCACCGCGUCCGGUCCUCGAGCGUAUGGGGCUUUGUCACCCGCUCUGUAGGCCCGGCCGGCGCUUGCCGAUCAACCCAAAUUUUUAUCCAGGUUGACCUCGAUCAGUAGGAACCCGGCGAUGGUU